GACGCUGGCGGCAGGCCUAACACAUGCAAGUCGAACGCUGUAGCAAUACAGAGUGGCAGACGGGUGAGUAACACGUGGGAAUCUUCCUAUCGGUACGGAAUAGCUCAGGGAAACUUGGGGUAAUACCGCAUACGCCCUUCGGGGGAAAGAUUUAUCGCCGAUAGACGAGCCCGCGUCUGAUUAGCUAGUUGGUGAGGUAAUGGCUCACCAAGGCGACGAUCAGUAGCUGGUCUGAGAGGAUGAUCAGCCACACUGGGACUGAGACACGGCCCAGACUCCUACGGGAGGCAGCAGUGGGGAAUAUUGGACAAUGGGCGAAAGCCUGAUCCAGCCAUGCCGCGUGAGUGACGAAGGUCUUCGGAUUGUAAAGCUCUUUUGGCGGGGACGAUAAUGACGGUACCCGCAGAAUAAGCCCCGGCUAACUUCGUGCCAGCAGCCGCGGUAAUACGAAGGGGGCUAGCGUUGUUCGGAAUUACUGGGCGUAAAGCGCACGUAGGCGGAUUGCUAAGUCAGGGGUGAAAUCCCGGGGCUCAACCUCGGAACUGCCUUUGAUACUGACAUCUUGAGUCC
This 570-nucleotide ribosomal RNA is filed under the name uncultured Hyphomicrobium sp. RNAcentral describes it as "bacterial SSU rRNA". It matches the Rfam family "Bacterial small subunit ribosomal RNA", at positions 32 to 649 of the family's 1533-position model. Lineage: Bacteria; Pseudomonadati; Pseudomonadota; Alphaproteobacteria; Hyphomicrobiales; Hyphomicrobiaceae. The record is from RNAcentral.